UACUUUUUAUUCAGGCGGUUUAUCCUUGAUAUGUUCAUCUUAACCGAUGAUGGGUCUCCUCCUUAACAUCCCCAAGCAAGUAUAUCCUUGAUAUGUUCAUCUUAACAGAUGACAGAUUUUCUUUCCUCUGAGUCUAUCCUUGAUAUGUUCACUCUAACCAGUGACGGAUAUUCUCUCCUUUUGGUCUUUUGCCCAGUAUCCGGUAGUUGUAAAUCCUAUUUUCAGCUUUCCCCAGCAAGUUUAUUAUUACCCAGUAACCGAUAAUGAAU
This 269-nucleotide long non-coding RNA is filed under the name Lathyrus oleraceus (garden pea). RNAcentral describes it as "Pisum sativum (pea) long non-coding RNA (PSAT_LNC004542)". The record is from RNAcentral. Lineage: Eukaryota; Viridiplantae; Streptophyta; Magnoliopsida; Fabales; Fabaceae.